RNAcentral lists this ribosomal RNA (1445 nucleotides) under uncultured organism. RNAcentral describes it as "SSU rRNA". It matches the Rfam family "Bacterial small subunit ribosomal RNA". The record is from RNAcentral.
AACGCUAGCUACAGGCUUAACACAUGCAAGUCGAGGGGCAGCAUGGUCUUAGUUUGCUAAGGCCGAUGGCGACCGGCGCACGGGUGAGUAACACGUAUCCAACCUGCCGUCUACUCUUGGACAGCCUUCUGAAAGGAAGAUUAAUACAAGAUGGCAUCAUGAGUCCGCAUGUUCACAUGAUUAAAGGUAUUCCGGUAGACGAUGGGGAUGCGUUCCAUUAGAUAGUAGGCGGGGUAACGGCCCACCUAGUCUUCGAUGGAUAGGGGUUCUGAGAGGAAGGUCCCCCACAUUGGAACUGAGACACGGUCCAAACUCCUACGGGAGGCAGCAGUGAGGAAUAUUGGUCAAUGGGCGAGAGCCUGAACCAGCCAAGUAGCGUGAAGGAUGACUGCCCUAUGGGUUGUAAACUUCUUUUAUAAAGGAAUAAAGUCGGGUAUGCAUACCCGUUUGCAUGUACUUUAUGAAUAAGGAUCGGCUAACUCCGUGCCAGCAGCCGCGGUAAUACGGAGGAUCCGAGCGUUAUCCGGAUUUAUUGGGUUUAAAGGGAGCGUAGAUGGAUGUUUAAGUCAGUUGUGAAAGUUUGCGGCUCAACCGUAAAAUUGCAGUUGAUACUGGAUGUCUUGAGUGCAGUUGAGGCAGGCGGAAUUCGUGGUGUAGCGGUGAAAUGCUUAGAUAUCACGAAGAACUCCGAUUGCGAAGGCAGCCUGCUAAGCUGCAACUGACAUUGAGGCUCGAAAGUGUGGGUAUCAAACAGGAUUAGAUACCCUGGUAGUCCACACGGUAAACGAUGAAUACUCGCUGUUUGCGAUAUACUGCAAGCGGCCAAGCGAAAGCGUUAAGUAUUCCACCUGGGGAGUACGCCGGCAACGGUGAAACUCAAAGGAAUUGACGGGGGCCCGCACAAGCGGAGGAACAUGUGGUUUAAUUCGAUGAUACGCGAGGAACCUUACCCGGGCUUAAAUUGCAGAUGAAUUACGGUGAAAGCCGUAAGCCGCAAGGCAUCUGUGAAGGUGCUGCAUGGUUGUCGUCAGCUCGUGCCGUGAGGUGUCGGCUUAAGUGCCAUAACGAGCGCAACCCUUGUUGUCAGUUACUAACAGGUUCCGCUGAGGACUCUGACAAGACUGCCAUCGUAAGAUGUGAGGAAGGUGGGGAUGACGUCAAAUCAGCACGGCCCUUACGUCCGGGGCUACACACGUGUUACAAUGGGGGGUACAGAGGGCCGCUACCACGCGAGUGGAUGCCAAUCCCCAAAACCUCUCUCAGUUCGGACUGGAGUCUGCAACCCGACUCCACGAAGCUGGAUUCGCUAGUAAUCGCGCAUCAGCCACGGCGCGGUGAAUACGUUCCCGGGCCUUGUACACACCGCCCGUCAAGCCAUGGGAGCCGGGGGUACCUGAAGUGCGUAACCGCGAGGAGCGCCCUAGGGUAAAACUGGUGACUGGGGC